UGGGGAAUAUUGCGCAAUGGGGGGAACCCUGACGCAGCCAUGCCGCGUGAAUGAAGAAGGCCUUAGGGUUGUAAAGUUCUUUCGGUAUUGAGGAAGGUUGAUGUGUUAAUAGCACAUCAAAUUGACGUUAAAUACAGAAGAAGCACCGGCUAACUCCGUGCCAGCAGCCGCGGUAAUACGGAGGGUGCGAGCGUUAAUCGGAAUAACUGGGCGUAAAGGGUACGCAGGCGGUUAUUUAAGUGAGGUGUGAAAGCCCCGGGCUUAACCUGGGAAUUGCAUUUCAGACUGGGUAACUAGAGUACUUUAGGGAGGGGUAGAAUUCCACGUGUAGCGGUGAAAUGCGUAGAGAUGUGGAGGAAUACCGAAGGCGAAGGCAGCCCCUUGGGAAUGUACUGACGCUCAUGUGCGAAAGCGUGGGGAGCAAACAGGAUUAGAUACCCUGGUAGUCCACGCUGUAAACGCUGUCGAUUUGGGGGUUGGGGUUUAACUCUGGCGCCCGUAGCUAACGUGAUAAAUCGACCGCCUGGGGAGUACGGCCGCAAGGUUA
Molecule: ribosomal RNA, 547 nt
Filed under: uncultured bacterium
Lineage: Bacteria
Description: bacterial SSU rRNA
Rfam family: Bacterial small subunit ribosomal RNA
Source: RNAcentral